UAGCAUAUCAAUAAGCGGAGGAAAAGAAACCAACAGGGAUUACCUCAGUAACGGCGAGUGAAGCGGUAACAGCUCAAAUUUGAAAUCUGCCGCAAGGCCGAGUUGUAAUUUGUAGAAGAUGCUUUGGGUAUGGCCCCGGUCUAAGUUCGUUGGAACACGACGUCAUAGAGGGUGAGAAUCCCGUAUGUGACUGGGUGCUUUUGCCUAUGUAAAGCUCUUUCGACGAGUCGAGUUGUUUGGGAAUGCAGCUCAAAAUGGGUGGUAUAUUUCAUCUAAAGCUAAAUAUUGGCCAGAGACCGAUAGCGCACAAGUAGAGUGAUCGAAAGAUGAAAAGCACUUUGGAAAGAGAGUUAAACAGUACGUGAAAUUGUUGAAAGGGAAGCGCUUGCAACCAGACUUGCACGCUGUUGAUCAUCCAGGCUUCUGUUUGGUGCACUCAACUGCGUUCAGGCCAGCAUCGGUUUUGGUGGUGGGAUAAAGGCCUUGGGAAUGUAGCUUCUUUCGGGGAGUGUUAUAGCCCUCGGUGCAAUGCCGCCUACCGGGACCGAGGACCGCGCUUCGGCUAGGAUGCUGGCGUAAUGGUUGUAAGCGACCCGUCUUGAAACACGGACCAAGGAGUCUAACAUCUAUGCGAGUGUUUGGGUGUCAAACCCAUACGCGUAAUUAACGUGAACGGAGGUGAGAACCCUUAAGGGUGCAUCAUCGACCGAUCCUGAUGUCUUCGGAUGGAUUUGAGUAAGAGCAUAGCUGUUGGGACCCGAAAGAUGGUGAACUAUGCCUGAAUAGGGUGAAGCCAGAGGAAACUCUGGUGGAGGCUCGCAGCGGUUCUGACGUGCAAAUCGAUCGUCAAAUUUGGGUAUAGGGGCGAAAGACUAAUCGAACCAUCUAGUAGCUGGUUCCUGCGA
Molecule: ribosomal RNA, 905 nt
Filed under: Gyoerffyella entomobryoides
Lineage: Eukaryota; Fungi; Ascomycota; Leotiomycetes; Helotiales; Discinellaceae
Description: LSU rRNA
Rfam family: Eukaryotic large subunit ribosomal RNA
Source: RNAcentral